GUGGGAUAAUCUCAAAAUUUUCCAUCUCCUCAAUGUUGUGUUCUUUGUCAUUCAGCAGACGAAAAUUCAGACCAUCUAUUCCUUUCUUUCGUACUCCUCCCAGGGAUGGCUUCAAAUCAUACAAAAGCUAUCUCUUCAUCCCCCUCCCAAUAACAUCCAAGAAUUUUGGGUGGUCUGGAGGAAUGAUUAAUAUACCUCACGGUGUUGCAAAGCAAGCUUGGGACUACCUGGUAUCGGUCAUAAUUUGGUGCCCGUGGA
Molecule: long non-coding RNA, 258 nt
Filed under: Elaeis guineensis (African oil palm)
Lineage: Eukaryota; Viridiplantae; Streptophyta; Magnoliopsida; Arecales; Arecaceae
Description: long non-coding RNA (EGUI_LNC002995)
Source: RNAcentral